CAUACCGAUGGAGAGUCAGUGGCAGCUCUCACUCGCCUCCCACGACAAGUAAUCAAAAUUUAGCAGUUGCUGGUGGUGUAUAACGCCGUUAGACCUCUCAUUGGUGCCAUAAUAAGGAGACCAUCCAGACGAAGACCACCAAUACGAAGAGGCCCACGACGACGAGGAUAACGAAGACUGCUGUUCCACACUUUGAACUACAUAUUUGUUGGUACCUCAUAGUUAGACUCUUCGAUUUACUGGAUCACACUUUAAAGAUGUUCUUGUUGACCUCCUUAUACACCAUGUAAUACACAUUUUAUGAAAUUAUAUACAUGUAAUUAGUAUGGAGGAUAAUACCAUAACAACAAAUUCUGACCCACCUUAAAACUAUACGGAACAUGCUAAAUAAAACUGUUGUUGAGCUAGAAUGAUGGUGGUUAGUAACUAAAGAAUACUACCUUAAAUGCUCCUAAUCUCUUAGGAAUAACUCUUUACUGCCUUAUGAGGGAAAUGCUUUUAUACUGUUGGGAUACCCUUAUACUGCUGAAAAUGGCAUUGUACAGCUAUACACGAGCGGGUACCUUGAAGUGCUUGUCUGAUUUUUUUCCUUUCCCUGACGUUCGUGUUUUAUCUCGUUCAUACCAUGGAAAAGCCUCAUUCGACUGACAUGUGGGGUGACCCAGGAUAAAUGAUGUAGAACCCAUUCCAUGAAUCCUAAAAUGGGUCUGGUAAUUUAAAACAAUGUUUGCUACUUGGCUUCAAACGUUCAUACAACUGAUAUAAAAUUUCGCCUACGGAGGAGUGAUAAAGUGUGUAGGUGCACAUUUACCAGGUUUGUUUAUUUUAGUAUAGUUUUUGAAAAGCUUCAAUAAUUAAUGUUUAAUGUUGUUUGUGGACAGGAUAAUGUUCAUUAUGUUCAGUUUGGCCUCAACACCGCUUUAAAAAAAUUAUGUAUUCAAAGCUUAAAUAAAAAUUAUUUAUUUACCUCUUA
Non-coding RNA from Cherax quadricarinatus, 973 nucleotides. Lineage: Eukaryota; Metazoa; Arthropoda; Malacostraca; Decapoda; Parastacidae. The record is from RefSeq and is a predicted model, not a curated record.